AUGAUGUCUGAGUUACAAAAAGAGAUUAAGCAAACCUUACUGUGAGUAAUACCAAGCCUUCCUGACGAGCCAUUCAAUCAGUCAGUUGAGAAAUGUGUAGUCUGAGGAGUAGAAGAUUUAAUGUACGUGAAAGAAGAGGACUUGUUAAGAGUUCAUACAGCCUGUCCAAUGCCAAACUGUUCACAUGAACAAAGAAGCAGCAUUUUGGUUCAGUAAUUAGUUUGACCGAGGUCUCCUCAAAAUUCACCACAAAUGAGCUCCUCAGGCUCCUCAUUAAGAAAAUGGAUGGACUCACACUUCAAGCAGAUGUAUUUGCCACUUCAGCAGAUGUCCAAGGAACACUCAACUUGCCUGACAGUCCUUGAAUUAUAAUUCUUGGUCAAACUCUAAGCAACCAGCAGUGGAUGGUGAGCAUUGAAGGUCACGUUGUAUGUGAGGGAACACAACUCAGCUUUGUCUGUGGCCGUACUGCUGUGUUUGCUUCAUGUGUGGACACUUUUUCUCUG
Molecule: long non-coding RNA, 506 nt
Organism: Polypterus senegalus (gray bichir)
Lineage: Eukaryota; Metazoa; Chordata; Cladistia; Polypteriformes; Polypteridae
Exons: 4
Source: RefSeq, a predicted model, not a curated record